GGCGGCACAAGGUAAGGCCUACGUAACACCCGAUCCCAUUCUGCACUCGAUAUGUGAGCCUUUCGCCAUAUGUACUGAGAUUUCUCGGGAGACAUGGUAAUUGCCCAGCC
Molecule: ribosomal RNA, 110 nt
Filed under: Welwitschia mirabilis
Lineage: Eukaryota; Viridiplantae; Streptophyta; Gnetopsida; Welwitschiales; Welwitschiaceae
Source: RNAcentral